This 253-nucleotide ribosomal RNA is filed under the name uncultured bacterium. Its description in RNAcentral is "partial 16S ribosomal RNA". It matches the Rfam family "Bacterial small subunit ribosomal RNA", at positions 524 to 776 of the family's 1533-position model. The record is from RNAcentral.
UACAGAGGUCUCAAGCGUUGUUCGGAUUCAUUGGGCGUAAAGGGUGUGUAGGUGGCGCCGUAAGUCGGGUGUGAAAUUUCGGAGCCUAACUCCGAAACUGCAUUCGAUACUGCGGUGCUUGAGGACUGGAGAGGAGACUGGAAUUCAUGGUGUAGCAGUGAAAUGCGUAGAGAUCAUGAGGAAGACCAGUGGCGAAGGCGGGUCUCUGGACAGUUCCUGACACUGAGACACGAAGGCCAGGGGAGCAAACGGG